UACGAAGGGGGCUAGCGUUGCUCGGAAUUACUGGGCGUAAAGGGCGCGUAGGCGGCCAACUAAGUCAGACGUGAAAUCCCUCGGCUCAACCGGGGAACUGCGUCUGAUACUGGAUGGCUUGAAUUCGGGAGAGGGAUGCGGAAUUCCUGGUGUAGCGGUGGAAUGCGCAGAUAUCAGGAGGAACACCGAUGGCGAAGGCGGUUCUCUGGGCAUGUCCUGACGCUGAGGAGCGAAAGUGUGGGGAGCGAACAGG
This 253-nucleotide ribosomal RNA is filed under the name uncultured bacterium. Its description in RNAcentral is "partial 16S ribosomal RNA". It matches the Rfam family "Bacterial small subunit ribosomal RNA", at positions 524 to 776 of the family's 1533-position model. The record is from RNAcentral.